RNAcentral lists this ribosomal RNA (274 nucleotides) under uncultured bacterium. RNAcentral describes it as "partial 16S ribosomal RNA". It matches the Rfam family "Archaeal small subunit ribosomal RNA", at positions 473 to 747 of the family's 1478-position model. The record is from RNAcentral.
GAACCAGCACCUCAAGUGGUCAGGAGGAUUAUUGGGCCUAAAGCAUCCGUAGCCUGUUCUGUAAGUUUUCGGUUAAAUCCAUUAGCUCAACUAAUGGGCUGCCGAAAAUACUGUAGAACUAGGGAGUGGGAGAGGUAGACGGUAUUCGGUAGGAAGGGGUAAAAUCCUUUGAUCUAUUGAGGACCACCUGUGGCGAAGGCGGUCUACCAGAACACGUUCGACGGUGAGGGAUGAAAGCUGGGGGAGCAAACCGGAUUAGAAACCCCGGUAGUCC